RNAcentral lists this long non-coding RNA (1393 nucleotides) under Pan troglodytes (chimpanzee). RNAcentral's name for it is "long non-coding RNA NONPTRT007123". Lineage: Eukaryota; Metazoa; Chordata; Mammalia; Primates; Hominidae. The record is from RNAcentral.
CUUGGGUCUUCCAGGCCAGGUGUAAGCAAAUGUAGGGAGUUCAGCCCCAGGAGAGAUAAAAGAAUCAUGCCAUGGCCAGGCGCAGUGACUUAUGCCUAUAAUCCCAGCACUUUGGGAGGCCGAGAUGGGCGGAUCGCUUGAGCUUAGGAGUUCGAGACCAGCCUGGGAAACAUAGUGAAACCUCAUCUCUACACACACACACACACACACACACACACACACACACACACACACACACACACACAAAGCCAGGUGUGAUGGCAUACAUCUCUAGUCCCAGCUACUUGGGAGGCUGAGGUGGGAGGAUUGCUUGAGCCUGGGAGGUGGAGGUUGCAGUAAGCCAAGAUCGUGCCACCAUACUCCAGCCUGGGUAACAGAGUGAGACCCUGUCUCAAAAAAAAAAAAAAAAGAAAACAUGCCAUGAUACCACAUGCUCCCUAAUCCUCUACUUUCUCAAACCCUAUUUUCUGCCUGCCUUUUCUUUCACCUCCCUUUAGCCAAUUCCAUUCCUGGCUACCUCAUCCCCUCCAGUCUGAAAGGACGUGUGAAUGCCACCAGGAUCUGAACCCAAGAUUCCAGCCUUGGUCACCACCCUGACCCUGAGAAUGCCACUGGGAUGGGGAGAACUUGUCAGUCUUCAUCCUUCCCCACAAGUAUACUGAGGCCAGGACAGGCUCAGCUCCAGAAGCAGACCCAGAAUGGCAUCCUUCUCUGAGACCCAGACCCCAGCCCCUCUUCAUGGAAGACCAGCACAAAGGAGGAAGUAGGUUAGGGAAUGGUAAGGCUCCAUGUGAUGGGACUAAUGUGGAGAGGCCUGGGGCCUUUCCCUGAGGACUGGAUGGCUGGAGUUUGGGAGCCUGAGUUGACAGAGGAGGCUAAGCCCGGGCAGCUACUUUGUUCCAGAAAUCUAAGGUCCCUGGAGGGAGGCUCUGCUUUGGGAGGGGGAAGGGAGCUAACAUUGCAGAGCACCAACUGUGAACCAGGUACAAUGGCAGAGCCUUUCCAUACCUGUACUCACAACUAGCGGGUGAGGAGUCAAGGCAAAUAGGUGUCUCAUAGCUCCCCAUAUCUCGGCAGUCGACCACCUCCUCCUUUGAUUCUCUGAUGUCACUGCCAGUUCUCCUCCUAUUGCUCUGACCUGUCUUUCUCUGUGUCCUUUGCAAACUCAUUCUCAACUCCUUAGACUCAGUCAAGUCCCCCAGUUACACACUUCCAUGGUACUAUAUAUCGUUCCUUCAGAGCACUUAACACAGUUAUUUCCUAUGUAUUUGUCCAGUCAUUUGAAUAAUGAUCCUAGUUUCAUUGGAUGGAAAGUUCCACAAGGUCAGUGACCAUUUCUAUCUGUGUUCACCAAUGUGUUCCCAGUGCCCAGAAACAAUGCCUAGCAUAAAGC